CACUGCCGAGAAAAGCCUCUAGAUAGAAAAUAGGUGCCCGUACCGCAAACCGACACAGGUAGUCAAGAUGAGAAUUCUAAGGUGAGCGAGCGAACUCUCGUUAAGGAACUCGGCAAAAUGACCCCGUAACUUCGGGAGAAGGGGUGCUCUUUAGGGUUAACGCCCAGAAGAGCCGCAGUGAAUAGGCCCAAGCGACUGUUUAUCAAAAACACAGGUCUCUGCUAAACCGUAAGGUGAUGUAUAGGGGCUGACGCCUGCCCGGUGCUGGAAGGUUAAGAGGAGUGGUUAGCUUCUGCGAAGCUACGAAUCGAAGCCCCAGUAAACGGCGGCCGUAACUAUAACGGUCCUAAGGUAGCGAAAUUCCUUGUCGGGUAAGUUCCGACCCGCACGAAAGGCGUAACGAUUUGGGCACUGUCUCAACGAGAGACUCGGUGAAAUCAUAGUACCUGUGAAGAUGCAGGUUACCCGCGACAGGACGGAAAGACCCCGUGGAGCUUUACUGUAGCCUGAUAUUGAAAUUCGGCACAGCUUGUACAGGAUAGGUAGGAGCCUUUGAAACGUGAGCGCUAGCUUACGUGGAGGCGCUGGUGGGAUACUACCCUAGCUGUGUUGGCUUUCUAACCCGCACCACUUAUCGUGGUGGGAGACAGUGUCAGGCGGGCAGUUUGACUGGGGCGGUCGCCUCCUAAAAGGUAACGGAGGCGCUCAAAGGUUCCCUCAGAAUGGUUGGAAAUCAUUCAUAGAGUGUAAAGGCAUAAGGGAGCUUGACUGCGAGACCUACAAGUCGAGCAGGGUCGAAAGACGGACUUAGUGAUCCGGUGGUUCCGCAUGGAAGGGCCAUCGCUCAACGGAUAAAAGCUACCCCGGGGAUAACAGGCUUAUCUCCCCCAAGAGUUCACAUCGACGGGGAGGUUUGGCACCUCGAUGUCGGCUCAUCGCAUCCUGGGGCUGUAGUCGGUCCCAAGGGUUGGGCUGUUCGCCCAUUAAAGCGGUACGCGAGCUGGGUUCAG
RNAcentral lists this ribosomal RNA (1010 nucleotides) under Staphylococcus aureus. RNAcentral's name for it is "partial 23S ribosomal RNA". It matches the Rfam family "Bacterial large subunit ribosomal RNA", at positions 1603 to 2614 of the family's 2925-position model. Lineage: Bacteria; Bacillati; Bacillota; Bacilli; Caryophanales; Staphylococcaceae. The record is from RNAcentral.